UUAUUUAACAACCAAUGAGACUCAACAGUAAACAAUCUUUCUCCAAAAUGACUGACCCCACCUUUAAACUUUUACCUUUAAAAUACUUCUCUGCCUGUAAGGGAAUUCUGAAUACAUUAAUAGUAUCUCAAAUAAUGUGCUAAAUAUGCUACAGUGCAUUUAUUUAAAUGUCAUUAGGAUCAUACUGUAUAGUGAAAGUAAACAAAUCAAUACAGCUGCAAAAUACAGAUCAAUACUAAAUACAGAUAUUGUAAAAAAAAUAUUCAGAAAAACACAUAUAACACUAUGAAACUAUUAUUAGCAACACUGAUGAGCCACUUUACCCCUGCAUGGGGUAUUUCCUAUUACCACAGAUAACAAGACAAGCAUAACAGUGAGUCUUAUUAUAAAUUUUAGCACAGUUAAAAUUGAGUUUUAAUCACACAAAACUCUCUCUGAACAAUCUCAGAUCAAUGGACAAUAUUGUCUAUAAAGAGAAAAUUAAUUAGCCACUAUUUUGGUAAUCAAUGAAUUUAGUUUUAUGCCACUUGGUACAUAUUCACUGAUUCUCCAGUGUGGGGAUUUGCUGAUUUUCUGGUUUACAUCAUUGUAAACUGAAACAUCUUUGGGUUUUGGACUGUUAGUUGGACAAAAAAACUAUUUGACAUCACAUAAAAAAGUUUGGGGCAUUUCUCACUUUUUUCUAAAAUUCAAAACAAUUAAUUUAUUGAGAAUUAAAUAACAAAUUAGUUAUUAUUAUAACAGAGUAUAAUGUAGAUGUAAGCAGAUAAAAGUGUAAAUGUAUUUGUCUAUAGCUAUAACUACUCUUGUUGGCACCCAUAAGCAGAGGUACUGUAAAAAAAUAAUGACUACACAGUUGUAAUAACAUAAAAUAUGUCUUCAUAUGAGAAGUUAUAAUUGUUGACAAAUACUGUAGAUUAAUAAACACAUUAAAUGUUUGAAAAUUGACCUUAUAGCUGCUUAAUAGUAAUUUAAACACCAGUUAUUAAAUGUUUAUAUACUGCCAGUGAAAGCUAAAUAGGGGGACUUGGGUAAAGUAAACAUUAUCUCAUUAUCUGCUGGUAUCUGCUGGCUUCACCCACACAGCAUUGGAGCAGAACUUCGUGCUGCAGUAAUAAGUGGUGUGCUCCCGAUCCUGGCAACAAAAAUAACAGCACACCUGACAGAAUGCAGCUGUCAGACGGAGCGGAGACGUGAUAUUAACUGACGGCAUUAUCCUACCCUUUCAGCUUUGCCCUUCUCUCUGUCUCUUUCCUGCUCUAUCUGGAGAGCAGGAGGAGAGCAACAGACAGGCGCAGAGAGAGAGGAGAGACAGAUUAUGAGGCAGGGCGAGGCAGAGAUACACAUAGAGAGAGAGGAGGAGAGGUGGUGAGAGACAGAGCCCAUGUAGGGUGCCAUGCUCCAGCCCUGUGUGUGGCCGCCAGCAAGUACCCAGAACCACACUAACGUCAUGAGCACUGGCUACCAUAUGCUGGAGCCCCUUGGCGAAGCUAUUCUCAGCAUUUACUUGUUUCUGUCUUUUACACACACACACACACACACACACACACACACACACACACACACACCGAUACACACCUCUCUCUGUUUGUCUCUUUUCUCUCCCUAGGAACCCCGGGAUCAUGCAAGUGGAAAACUGGACUGAGAAAUGCUUGCUGGCUUAUGUAAGAGAGACUGUAGGUAGGGCAGAUUAGGUGCAAACAGGAAACAGGAAAGUCUGAGGGCAGACAGGCAGAUGGUAGCUACGGAACGGUAUGAUGGCGGUAGAUUUGUCAGAAGCAAAUUGGUUCAUUUUCCCAAAGAGACUACCCAAUACUAAAGUCAAUCGAUACUGAAACAAUCCCAUUCCCUCCUAUAAUCUCUGUGAGUCACUUGCAAGUGGUGCAGGUGACUGGAAGUCCAAUGUGACCUCCAAAGCAGCAGCUUGAUUGGAUUUGUGUGUCUGGUUUACAGAUAAAAAGAAUGAACCACAUAAACUGUACACUGCCUUUGAAAAAGUAAGUAUAGGGUUUAAUGUACCUCCAUGGCAUCUGGCUCAUGUUUUGCUGUGUUUUCAGUGUUUCGGCAUGUCAUUGAUUGCACUGGGUGGCAGAUGGAAACACACAGUUAUUUGUAUUUCCUGCUUUUUCCAUCACUUACACAUCUGCAGCACAUCUAAGCAGCCAUGAAAAGGGAUUCACAUUUUUCAACUCCCACAGUCCUUUGUGGAUCCCAUUUUCUCCUCUCCUCAUUUAAAUAGCUGUGACAAACUGAAUUAUGCACACAUCCCAAACUGUUCUAUCUCAGACUGCAUAUGAAUCCAGUUCAACCACACUCACACACACACACACACACACACACACACACACACACACACACACACAAACAGAGACAUAUAGUGGUAAACAUGCCUCUCUUUGUGUAAAAUAUACACAGUGGCUUAAGUGCUGAACAUCAUUUUAUCACUUCCCAUAGUGACACAUCUUAGUGCUGGUGAAUAAGAGAGUGUGUUUACUGAACUGUCAGCCUCUCUGGUGAAUAACCCCAUGGCUGGCAAAGUGGCAUUUAAGGUAAAAACUAAAAGUCAGCUCAAAAAAAAGAAAAUCGGCACACAGAACGGUACAGAGUGUUUAUCCCAGUGGGGCUUCCCAUGAAUAUGCAUAGGUAAGUUUGCUUUAAUGUAACUGCAAAUGUUAUACUCCCACAGGUGAAAUAGUGACCUGAAUGUGAGCAAAAUCUGACUGGUUCAAUUGAAAGGAUUCCUUCAACAGUCUUUUAUACUCUCUUACAGAAAGCAACUGAUGGGAAACUCAGACAGCACAAAGACAGUAACAUCAUUACUCACAUCCAAAAAGAACAAAAUUACAUCUUGUGAUUGUUCUUCACUGGCUAGAAAUGCAAUCUACAACCCCUAAAGACAUGGUUCAUCCCUGAUGUUUAUUGUCUAUGUUGUUGUUCUCAGUGUUAAGCUCCAGGCACAGUGAGAUUUCAGUGCUGAGGCACAGUGUGACAGUGUGGCCAGGUGCUUGGAUGACUCACGUUGCUGAGACUGGAGACAAGCAGCCCAAAUACCACAAUGUGGGAGAGUGGUGGGAGCGUUGGCUGUAGCCUAAAGUUUCAAGGACCAAACGCUUGGUUCGGCAUGUUUUACUGCUGCUGUUUACACCAUAACACAUUCAGUGUCUAUAUGAAACAUUUUGUCAGAGUAGACUGAAUAGUAGUAAAAACACAAAUGGUAAAUGGACUUCACUUUUACAACACAGCACUUAAUCUUAGUUGGUGAAGGAGACUCACCCAUUCACACACACACACACACACACACACACACACACACACACACACACACACACACACACACACACACACACACACACACACAUACAUACACUCACGCAUUGUUAACAGCAGAGCUGCCAUUAAAGGUACUGGCCCGGCCCUUGGGAGCAAUUUGUGGUUUGUGGCCUCUGUAUGGUCUUAUGCACAAAUACUGUCAGGUUAGGUGUUAUAAACAGUAUUUUUGGGGAUUUAAUAUGAUUUUCUGCAAUAAUUCAAAAGGGUUUCAUUUCAUAAUUUGUGCCUGUGAAUCUUUUCAUCUUGCUCUGCUACCAUGAGAUCCUGUCCUUCGUUUGAUCCUCAACUCAAUAUGCUGCACUCUCUAUAGGCUCCCUAGUUAUUUUUGGUAUUCUUCAUUUGCAUUUUGCAGGGGAAUCUACGUGUUCAGAUUCAGGGGUGGGUAUUAACGCACAUGAGUACAAUUACCCCACCACCCUUUUUUUUAAACUGUAAACUCUUGACUAUAUUUUUAAGCCAAUAAACUAGUUUUUACUUUGCUACAUUUACCAUUUAUACUUUCAUUAGAACUCAACAGCUAAAUGUAAGGAUUCAGUGUAUAGGUGUGGAGAGUGCACAAGGAGCACCUCUACUAUAGAUGUCAAGUUGCUUCUGAAGGCAGUUUCAAGUGACAAUCCCUGGCAAAAACAUCUGGCCACUUUUUAUAUCAAAAUCUAAACAACAAAACAGUUACACAAUGAAGUGCUCACUGUGCCUCCCAAAAAACUCUGAGCUCUAUGCUUUCAAAAACUAAUUGUCUAACCUCCACAAGCACACUGAAAUAGGUUGCACAUACUGUAAGUGAAAUGUGUUUAGCUACCUAGCGUUAAUUUUUGAUGUGUCACAAUCUUUGAUGUUAUGUUAAUGACAAUGGUCUUCUGGCCUUUUAUGUUGGUGCAGAAAGCUGUUAACCAAACAUAAUGUCAACUUCAACAUUAACAUUACUUUUUGCAGUAGUAAACACAGCCUGAAAAAUAUUAAAAUGGAAAAUAACUUGCCCUUUCAGUAAUUUAUUAACCUGCUACUGUUCACCUGAGUCAUUUUUUAUGGAAGUAAUUGUAUUUUUACUUACUCUUAGAUUUUCAGUACUCUACCCACCACUUCUCACAAUGAAUUUGUCUCAGUUACUUUCCAGAUGUUGUCAUCGGCAAUCUAUAGACUUAUUAUAUAUAUAUAGACAUAAUUACAUGGAUGUUCUAGUUGUCAUUAGUCUUCCUCAUAUAAUUCUUGUAACUCACUUCACCUACAGAGCUACUUCUGUGUGCUUUAUGCAGUCAAAUAAGAGGGUGUAGAAUGAGGCUGACUAAUCUAAUCUUUCCCGUGGCCAGUCAAGACUCUAACGAAGUGUGGGCAGUAUCACCUCCCUCAUCACACUGGACAAUUAGGAUUUCUCUCUGGCUCCAAAGAUGAGUGAAUAAAUACCAAAGACAGACGGCCUAAGACUAUGACAAUGAUAUGCCAUAAUUGCAUCCAGAUAAAUGGGGCUAUUAAGAGUGUAUGAUCUCCAUAGUGGGACCAAAUGGAGUGUGAAAAUGCGUCAUCGCCACUUAAGUCUGCUUCAUGAUCCAGGCUUAUGGGGUCGAAAGAGAACAAAGAAAGAGGGUUAUAAAUGUGUGGAUAUUGCUACUAUAGAAGCUGUUCUUUGUAUUACUUUGGCACUGUUAUAAUAUGUGUUGGUUUAUGUGGCUAUAAGAGAAAAAUAUAUGAGAAAUAUAGCCUAUCUAGGAGUUAGAGUUUCCUGCAUAGACAGGAGAUGAACAUUUGUUAGGACAGCUGGCUGGGCACAAAUUUAAAACAGUUCUCUAAAAAAUAUAUUUCCAAAGUGUCAAGGAUACAGUGGAAAGUGGAGCAAGAGAAACUUUUAAAACUGACUCCAGCUAUCUCCCCUGGAAGAUGAAGAACAUGCUUCUUGAAAUGAGCUGUCUACAGUCCAAAUCUAUUUCUGCUUCAGUUGCUGGCAAAACUCGAUGGUUGCUGGAGGGGAGCAAGGAGCUUCCAGGCAUCCUCUGUAUCCCGCUCUGUCAACAUCUUCAGCAAUUUUCUGCACAACGAGCACAUAAUGCCCACAGCUUACCUACCAAUUCAAUUCAAAAGAUUAGAAGGAGCAAGAAAUGGCUUUUUCAUCAAAUCAUCUCUGUUCUGUGCCAGGACAAGUCUUGGAAAAACUUUUUAACCAUCUUGCAAUGCUGAAAAAUAAUCUUCCCACAUGAGCAUAUUGUGUAUUAUAGUGUACCUGUAGGCUGCAGGAAGCACUCUGACUUUUACAAUAGGGAAUAAAACAUAACUAGCAUUAAGGAGAUCGUUAGAAGUAUCAUUCCAACUAACAGUUUCAGAACAAGCCUGAUGUAUGAAUAAAAAACAAGACUGAAAAAGACACUAUCUAACAGGAGAGGAUGAGCAAAUCCAUCACUAAGUUUCUAUUAAUUCCUAAUUUCCUAGUUACUACUAACUAGUUUCAUCUAUCUAUCUAUCUAUCUAUCUAUCUAUCUAUCUAUCUAUCUAUCUAUCUAUCUAUCUAUCUAUCUAUCUAUCUAUCUAUCUAUCUCAUUGCCUUGGAGUUAAUGAUUAGUGACUUGUCCUCUUUAAAAGCUUUUUUUAAUCCUGCGUACUUUGGCCAAAUGGUGUAUAUUCAGACAGCGUGUGUGCUUUGACUCUUAAUGUCCACACAGACCAAUCCGGUGAGACAACGACUCAUUAUUAAACACUGAUUGAAGUUGGUGUUAGAAAGGAGAGCAGGCUGCCUACAGAUGAAGCAGGACAUACAAGAUGAGGGACACGGUGUGCUCUGAAAAUAUUGAGUGAAGGUUGACACAGGAAUGAGACAUGCGCCUCUAUAAUAAAUGUAGCACUUCAGGUUUAAAGCAGAGGUGGGGAUGCGGAGCUAGAGGGUGGAGGGGAGAGGAAUUGAGGGGGAAGUGCAACGUAAACCGCAGUGAGCAGAGGAGGAGGGGAGUCGGGCUGAGGUGGAGGGCUUAUGUAACAGGUUCAGAUGCGGCCUCUACCUCUACAGAGGAUAACGAUUGGCAAGGGCAAUGAGGAUCAAAAGAGACCUUUGAAUUCUCUGUGAAAAUACUGACUGGGCCACCAGUUCAGGGACGAUAGAGGCAAACAGCCACGCCUUAGGCAACCAAUGACGAUGUAGUUACAACAACAACAACAUGUUUUCCCAAUCUUCCUCUUUUAACCGUCUACCUAUAAGUUCCACUUUAACCCAUUUGUAUCUUAUAUUUCAGUAUUAUCUUCUGGUAUUUUGUAUAUUUUGGAACGAUAUGGCUUCGAAGGAAUUCACAUCAUUUUUAAUUAAUAUUUGUGAAGAUUUGCAAUGCCUUUGAUGACCAAAUCUUAACCCAUUUUGUCUGGUUUAAAUUGAGGGUCCCUUGCCAAUUCUUUGAGAUAAGGAAAAAAACACCACCGGGCCGACACUGACAGAAGAGCCCACAUAAUAAAAUACAAACAAAAACAGGUAAAAAUAGAAAUCUGACCUCUGAGUUAAUGCACUCCUUUGAAAACAGUCCAGUUUGUAUCUUUCCAAAUAGGCCACCCUCAGUCUGCACAUUUGUUUUGCUGACUUUACACAGCUUACGACUGUGAGCAUAUGACUCGUAUGUUUUUGAGAAGAAACAAUCUCAUGUAAUGUAGAAAAAAGCUGGCAGCCGACAUAACAGAGUAAGCAGUCAGGGUGUAAAACGGUGAAGUAAUUAUCAUUGACCUCACAGUCUUCUUAUUUAAUUGGCAUGCAGACCCCUGAAGAACUGCGGUUACGGGACAAAAAAAAAAAAAAACAGGACAGCACAUAUUGUACUCGCUGAAACAAGUUUAUGAAGAGAAAAAGGAGAAAGAGGAGAGAGGAGUUAAAGACAUGAAAAGAUAUGAAAAGAGAGUGGAACUGGAGAUAGGGUGAGGUCAAAAAUGAGCAAGUGAAACAAGAUGAGAUGCACAGGAGGGUGAAAUUGUGGGAAGGUAGCAGAAAGAGAUAAGGUAAAGGAGCUUGUGCAUACCUUGCUGUGCUGUGCUCAGCUCAGCGGAAAAAAACACACCCUUACAUCUGCAUGCCGUUGGACUUGAGCAGAUGCACAGACGGAAAUAGCUCGGGUGAGGAAAGUAAAAGAAGGAUACGAGUCCAUCUAGGGCAGGAUGGAUGCACUCAACUUUGUUUGGCUGAGGUAGACAUUUUGAGAGAUCUAAUGUGUCCUGGGCUUUCACAGAAAACACUCUUCCUGGAGAUGGCUCGAGAUGUGUGCGUUCACUGAUCCACUGGAGAGGAGCUCUGUGCAACGGCAUGAAUUUGUUAUAAGAAGCCGACUGCUUCAACCACUGGUACAGCUGAGCAGACCCGUGUUUGGCACAGCUUGGACUCCUUUCAGAUGAUGGAGGCCUCCGCUCACACUGGAUGACAUUAGCCCACAGUUACAGUGACAAAAUGCUGCCAGCAGCUGAACCACUGACCUCCACAACAUUUACCCUCAACACCCCUAACUCUACCACACGCACCUACUGGCUGCAGAGCAUACAGACAGUUCACAUUAUAUUUGGUUGCAUUGUUGCUAUACCUCUUCAGUGCAAUAAUACCCGCAUUAUCAGGAAUCUUGAACAUUUUUAUAUUAAUAUAAAGGUAACUCCAACACAAUGUUCCUGCGUUAUAUUAUCCAAUCACACAAGGCCAUUAUUAUAGACCAAUAAUAAAAAGAGAUAUGCGUGAUGUAUCUGGAUAAAGGGUUAUGACAAAAAACAAAGAUGCAUGGUGAUAAAUUAACAUCAAGCUACCAAUGUCUCUACAUUGUUAUGUAACGCAAAGAGUGGUUUAAUUUAAAGGCACAAUACAGGUUCCUAAUGUAAGCAAAAGAGGCCCUACCUACCAAAAGAAAUACACCCAUCAAACUCAUAUUUUUUAAAAUAUUAGGGGGGCUUUCUGUCUUUAAUCGAUAGGACAGCUCAAGAUAGAUAGGAAAGAGGGAGAGAAAGGGGAUGACAUGUGGCAAAGGGCCACAGGUCAGACUUGAACCCAUGGCCACUGCAGCAAGGACUCAACCUUGGUACCAGCUGGGCACCAUCUCUGCCACGUGAGCUACAAAGAUGACCCCAUCCAACUUUUUCAUUCUUGAUAGCGAGCCCCAUACCUUAAUUCAUCUGUCCAUACUGAGCACUAUAUAUAAAAUAGUGUUCCCUUUUUUUUAAAUGUUAAUCUCAUCUGUAUAACUCACUGUGUGGAAGUCACUGGGGUCAUUUAUACUUGCAUCAUAUAAUGACAUUGAUAUUGGAUUGGUCCCUUCACGGCGGAUAACUGAUCUGCUUAUUAGGGAUCAGUAUCGGACCAGUAACGAUCGGAUCAUAUCGGAUCAGUGCAUCCAUAAUUGGAACCUGCUAUCACUCCCAAAUUGAUUGACAUGUUUUCUGACGCACAUUCAAACAGAAAGAAGGGACUAAAACAAAUGUAUUCAUGUCUUCAGUAGCUGAUGGUUUGUUUAUACAUAUUUAUAAUUUUAUUUUAUUAUUUUGAAAUCAGAAUCAGAUAUACUUUAAUACUUUAACAUAUUAAUUUAAAUAUGGUAUAAGGAACUGAGGAAUUUUUAUGUGGCAACACCUGUAUCUUCUACAGUUAAAAAAGUAAGUGACUGACUGUAAAUUAAGUAGUAAUGUGCAUCAUUUCCUCAGUAGCUCUUCAGCACCAUGGACAGCACUGACUGCCCAGCAGUGCUGGCUGACAGCUACAGGAGAGAUACUGCACACUGUCUGCUUAUCUUCACUUUGGCUGCUCCCACUGACAAUUAAUUUAUCUAAUCAACUGAUCAAUCAAAUUCAAAUCCAGCACACUCUUUAGGAGUUUCAGGGUUUCAUGCAGAGGACCCUAAACAGAAUGAAAUGAGACCCUAGAGACACUCAUUUGAUAAGAUCCAACAUCUUUUUCUUUUAGACAAUAUUUAUAUA
Long non-coding RNA from Dicentrarchus labrax (European seabass), 9234 nucleotides. RefSeq lists it as uncharacterized. Lineage: Eukaryota; Metazoa; Chordata; Actinopteri; Moronidae. The transcript is spliced from 3 exons. The record is from RefSeq and is a predicted model, not a curated record.